UUGCUGGCGACCGGCGCACGGGUGAGUAACACGUAUCCAACCUGCCGAUAACUCGGGGAUAGCCUUUCGAAAGAAAGAUUAAUACCCGAUAGCAUAAUGAUUCCGCAUGGUUUCAUUAUUAAAGGAUUCCGGUAAAGGAUGGGGAUGCGUUCCAUUAGGUUGUUGGUGAGGUAACGGCUCACCAAGCCUUCGAUGGAUAGGGGUUCUGAGAGGAAGGUCCCCCACAUUGGAACUGAGACACGGUCCAA
RNAcentral lists this ribosomal RNA (248 nucleotides) under uncultured bacterium. RNAcentral's name for it is "partial 16S ribosomal RNA". It matches the Rfam family "Bacterial small subunit ribosomal RNA", at positions 85 to 334 of the family's 1533-position model. The record is from RNAcentral.